AAGUCGUAACAAGGUUUCCGUAGGUGAACCUGCGGAAGGAUCAUUAACAAAAAGAUUCUUUUCUUUACAACCGUGUUCUGUAAUAAUACUGUUAUCUGGCAUGACCAGUUGCGGUGUGUAAUGGCUCAGUAAUUUGAUUCCUACACAUCCCAAGUGCUUGCCAGAGUUUUUUACAAUACACUUUUUAUAUUCUUUACUGAUGUGAUCUCAUACUCGUCAAAGUAUGAUUGUAUAACUUAAAAAAAACUGUUAACAACGGAUCACUCGGUUCUCA
RNAcentral lists this unclassified non-coding RNA (274 nucleotides) under fungal sp. RNAcentral's name for it is "partial internal transcribed spacer region". The stretch from base 1 to 46 matches the Rfam family "Eukaryotic small subunit ribosomal RNA", at positions 1786 to 1831 of the family's 1831-position model. Lineage: Eukaryota; Fungi. The record is from RNAcentral.